AAAUUGCACCAGGGGUGCCUGUGUUCUCAACAGUCUGAGAGCCUCUUAGCCUGGACUGUUGUGAGAUGGGCUGAGAAAGUCCCUUUGAACCUGAACAGGAUAAUGCCUGCGAAGGGAGUGUGCAAUUCUAUUUUC
This is a non-coding RNA of Zea mays, 135 nucleotides long. NCBI's taxonomy places the organism in Eukaryota, Viridiplantae, Streptophyta, Magnoliopsida, Poales, Poaceae. The record is from Rfam.